CGCGUAGGCGGCGUGACAAGUCACUUGUGAAAUCUCCGGGCUUAACUCGGAACGGUCAAGUGAUACUGUUGUGCUAGAGUACAGAAGGGGCAAUCGGAAUUCUUGGUGUAGCGGUGAAAUGCGUAGAUAUCAAGAGGAACACCAGAGGCGAAGGCGGAUUGCUAGGCUGAUACUGACGCUGAGGCGCGAAAGCUAGGGUAGCAAACG
This 207-nucleotide ribosomal RNA is filed under the name uncultured bacterium. Its description in RNAcentral is "partial 16S ribosomal RNA". It matches the Rfam family "Bacterial small subunit ribosomal RNA", at positions 568 to 774 of the family's 1533-position model. The record is from RNAcentral.